RNAcentral lists this ribosomal RNA (301 nucleotides) under uncultured bacterium. RNAcentral's name for it is "partial 16S ribosomal RNA". It matches the Rfam family "Bacterial small subunit ribosomal RNA", at positions 509 to 807 of the family's 1533-position model. The record is from RNAcentral.
CAGUAGCCGCGGUAAUACGGAGGGUGCAAGCGUUAAUCGGAAUUACUGGGCGUAAAGCGCACGCAGGCGGUCUGUCAAGUCGGAUGUGAAAUCCCCGGGCUCAACCUGGGAACUGCAUCCGAAACUGGCAGGCUAGAGUCUUGUAGAGGGGGGUAGAAUUCCAGGUGUAGCGGUGAAAUGCGUAGAGAUCUGGAGGAAUACCGGUGGCGAAGGCGGCCCCCUGGACAAAGACUGACGCUCAGGUGCGAAAGCGUGGGGAGCAAACAGGAUUAGAUACCCGCGUAGUCCCUGUCUCUUAUAC